Molecule: ribosomal RNA, 539 nt
Filed under: uncultured bacterium
Lineage: Bacteria
Description: bacterial SSU rRNA
Rfam family: Bacterial small subunit ribosomal RNA
Source: RNAcentral
AGAGUUUGAUCCUGGCUCAGAAUCAACGCCGUCGGCGUGCCUAACACAUGCAAGUCGAACGCGAAAGGGGAGCAAUCCCUGAGUAGAGUGGCAAACGGGUGAGUAACACGUGGGUGACCUGCCUUCGAGUGGGGGAUAACGUUCCGAAAGGAACGCUAAUACCGCAUGACAUCCUGCCUUUGGAAAGGUGGAGAUCAAAGCUGGGGAUCGCAAGACCUGGCGCUUGAAGAGAGGCCCGCGCCUGAUUAGCUAGUUGGUGGGGUAACGGCUCACCAAGGCGACGAUCAGUAUCCGGCCUGAGAGGGCGGACGGACACACUGGGACUGAGACACGGCCCAGACUCCUACGGGAGGCAGCAGUGGGGAAUUGUUCGCAAUGGGCGCAAGCCUGACGACGCAACGCCGCGUGGAGGACGAAGAUCUUCGGGUCGUAAACUCCUGUCGAGCGGGACGAACGCUCCGCGGACGAAUACUCCGCGGAAUUGACGGUACCGCUAAAGGAAGCCCCGGCUAACUCCGUGCCAGCAGCGGCGGUAAUAC